This 807-nucleotide ribosomal RNA is filed under the name Cellulomonas sp. enrichment culture clone HY19a. RNAcentral describes it as "bacterial SSU rRNA". It matches the Rfam family "Bacterial small subunit ribosomal RNA", at positions 89 to 907 of the family's 1533-position model. Lineage: Bacteria; Bacillati; Actinomycetota; Actinomycetes; Micrococcales; Cellulomonadaceae. The record is from RNAcentral.
UGAUCAGUGGCGAACGGGUGAGUAACACGUGAGUAACCUGCCCCUGACUCUGGGAUAACUUCGGGAAAUCGGAGCUAAUACCGGAUAUGAGACGUCCUCGCAUGGGGAGCGUCUGGAAAGAUUUAUCGGUCUGGGAUGGACUCGCGGCCUAUCAGCUUGUUGGUGAGGUAAUGGCUCACCAAGGCGACGACGGGUAGCCGGCCUGAGAGGGCGACCGGCCACACUGGGACUGAGAUACGGCCCAGACUCCUACGGGAGGCAGCAGUGGGGAAUAUUGCACAAUGGGCGAAAGCCUGAUGCAGCGACGCCGCGUGAGGGAUGAAGGCCUUCGGGUUGUAAACCUCUUUCAGCAGGGAAGAAGCGAAAGUGACGGUACCUGCAGAAGAAGCGCCGGCUAACUACGUGCCAGCAGCCGCGGUAAUACGUAGGGCGCAAGCGUUGUCCGGAAUUAUUGGGCGUAAAGAGCUCGUAGGCGGUUUGUCGCGUCUGCUGUGAAAACUCGAGGCUCAACCUCGGGCUUGCAGUGGGUACGGGCAGACUAGAGUGCGGUAGGGGAGACUGGAAUUCCUGGUGUAGCGGUGGAAUGCGCAGAUAUCAGGAGGAACACCGAUGGCGAAGGCAGGUCUCUGGGCCGCAACUGACGCUGAGGAGCGAAAGCAUGGGGAGCGAACAGGAUUAGAUACCCUGGUAGUCCAUGCCGUAAACGUUGGGCACUAGGUGUGGGGCUCAUUCCACGAGUUCCGUGCCGCAGCUAACGCAUUAAGUGCCCCGCCUGGGGAGUACGGCCGCAAGGCUAAAACUCAAAGA